AGCAGCCGCGGUAAUUCCAGCUCCAAUAGCGUAUAUUAAAGUUGCUGCAGUUAAAAAGCUCGUAGUUGAAUUUCGGGACCAUCAUGUCGGUCGUGCCUCGGUACGUACUGGUAUUAUUGGUUUCUCCCUUCUGAAGAACCUUGAUGUCAUUAAUUUGGUGUCUUGGGGAAUCAGGACUGUUACUUUGAAAAAUUAGAGUGUUUAAAGCAGGCAUACGCUUGAAUACAUUAGCAUGGAAUAAUGAAAUAGGACGUUUGAUUCUAUUUUGUUGGUUUCUAGGAUCGACGUAAUGAUUAAUAGGGAUAGUUGGGGGCAUUAGUAUUCAAUUGUCAGAGGUGAAAUUCUUGGAUUUAUUGAAGACUAACUACUGCGAAAGCAUUUGCCAAGGAUGUUUUCAUUAAUCAAGAACGAAAGUUAGGGGAUCGAAGACGAUCAGAUACCGUCGUAGUC
This 450-nucleotide ribosomal RNA is filed under the name uncultured Glomus. RNAcentral describes it as "SSU rRNA". It matches the Rfam family "Eukaryotic small subunit ribosomal RNA", at positions 569 to 1025 of the family's 1831-position model. The record is from RNAcentral. Lineage: Eukaryota; Fungi; Glomeromycota; Glomeromycetes; Glomerales; Glomeraceae.